GGUCCUCCUGGCUGAACGGCAGCGCGUCGCCGGCGGCGACGCGGAAUUGCAGCUCGACCAGAUCGAGGCCGGUGAUCGCCUC
RNAcentral lists this transfer RNA (82 nucleotides) under Chelatococcus reniformis. RNAcentral describes it as "tRNA-Ala". The record is from RNAcentral. Lineage: Bacteria; Pseudomonadati; Pseudomonadota; Alphaproteobacteria; Hyphomicrobiales; Chelatococcaceae.